This is a long non-coding RNA of Malania oleifera, 1342 nucleotides long. RefSeq lists it as uncharacterized. The transcript is spliced from 2 exons. Lineage: Eukaryota; Viridiplantae; Streptophyta; Magnoliopsida; Santalales; Ximeniaceae. The record is from RefSeq and is a predicted model, not a curated record.
AAUGUAAUUCAAGGCUUUCGCUUACAUGGUAUUAGAGCUAGGUUUUCUUAACCUUAGCUAACAAUGGCUAGCAGCAGGGACUCUGAGGUUACGUUCGAUGGGGGUUUGAAUGGGCUAGACAAUACAACCUUUCCACUCUCAGUGGAGAAAUUAAACGGGAAAAACUAUCGAGAAUGGGCUCAAUCCAUAAAGUUGGUGAUUGAAGGAAAAGGGAAACUAAGUUACCUUACUGGAGAAAGGAGGAAACCCGAACUUGCUGAUGUUGUUGCCUUGCAAACAUGGAGAUCCAAAAACUCCAUGGUCAUGGCUUGGCUCGUUAACUCGAUGAAGCCAGUGAUUGGUAAAAUAUGCUUGUUGUUACCCACAACGAAGGAUGUCUGGGAUGCCGUUCGCGAAACCUACUCCGAUGUUGAGUGCUAUUCAUAAAUCGUUGACAUCAAAUCUCGGUUGUGGUAGAUGAGGCAAGGUGAUAAGGAAGUCACGAAGUAUUUCAUGGAGAUGACCCAUCUCUGGCAAGAGCUUAAUCUGAGCAUUGACGAGGAGUGGGAGUGCUCCGGCAACUGCACACGAUACUGAGGGAGGCUCGAAAACGAAAGGAUCUUUGAGUUUCUUAUUGACCUCAACUGAAAUUUGGACGACGUAAGGGGACGCAUCCUUGGCCGAUAACCUCUUCCUUCAACCCGAGAGGUCUUCGCAGAAGUUAGGAGGGAGAAAAGUAGGGGGCAUAUGAUGUUGAGGCCCCAAGGUGAUAGGGUCAGGCUAGACCUAUCCGUAUCCACCUCAAAUUCAAAUGGGAACACUAAUGGGCUUGAUGUUUCAACCCUUGUAUCAAAAGGCCUAGGGGGAUCCAGUCAACGACCACAAAAAGGUUAAUUACGGUGUGAACAUUGCCGCAAAACAAGCCAUUCAAAAGAUGCCUGCUGGGAGAUUCAUGGAAAAUCGGUAGAUUGGAAGCCGAGACAAUACCAAAAGAAUUGUGGGUACCAGGCGAGCACAGAUGAGUCAACUGAAAAAUUACAAGGAGAAAAAACCAAUAACACCUCCCCAAGUAGUGCAUUUAGUCUUGAGCAGUUAGAUCAGCUGUAUAAAAUGAUUUUGUCAAUUCAAACAUCGAGUCAGUCUUCCUCCGGUUCCUUGGCUCACCGAGGACUUGUCAUCGAGGAAGAUGAUUGGCACUGCUAAGGCAUAUGAGGAAUUCUACUACUUUGAGAAGGCAAGCUUGAGUGAACUAUGUAAUACUGCAAUUUGUGAUUCUGCAUCUAUUUCUAGAGAUAGUGAACUUUUGUUAUGACAUUCAAGGAUGGGUCAUCCCAAUUUCCAAUAUUUAAAACUUUUGUUUCUU